Molecule: ribosomal RNA, 268 nt
Filed under: uncultured bacterium
Lineage: Bacteria
Description: partial 16S ribosomal RNA
Rfam family: Bacterial small subunit ribosomal RNA
Source: RNAcentral
AGCGAACGCUGGCGGCGUGCUUAACACAUGCAAGUCGAGCGAGAAAGGGGGCUUCGCCCUCGAGUACAGCGGCGAACGGGUGAGUAAUACAUGAGCAAUCUAUCCUUGAGGCGGGAAUAACCCAGCGAAAGUUGGGCUAAUACCGGAUGAGACCACAGGAGGAAACUCCAAGGGUCAAAGGCAGCUUUCUUUUGGGUAGCGGCCCUUCGAAGAGGAGCUCAUGUCCUANCAGCUAGUUGGUAGGGUAACGGCCUACCAAGGCGAAGAC